GUGAGGAAUUUUCCGCAAUGGGCGAAAGCCUGACGCAGCCAUGCCGCGUGAAUGAUGAAGGUCUUAGGAUUGUAAAAUUCUUUCACCGGGGACGAUAAUGACGGUACCCGGAGAAGAAGCUCCGGCUAACUUCGUGCCAGCAGCCGCGGUAAUACGAAGGGGGCUAGCGUUGCUCGGAAUUACUGGGCGUAAAGGGCGCGUAGGCGGACAGCUUAGUCAGAGGUGAAAGCCCAGGGCUCAACCUUGGAAUUGCCUUUGAUACUGGCUGUCUUGAGUUUGGGAGAGGUGAGUGGAACUCCGAGUGUAGAGGUGAAAUUCGUAGAUAUUCGGAAGAACACCAGUGGCGAAGGCGACUCACUGGCCCAAUACUGACGCUGAGGCGCGAAAGCGUGGGGAGCAAACAGGAUUAGAUACCCUUGUAGUCC
Molecule: ribosomal RNA, 425 nt
Filed under: uncultured bacterium
Lineage: Bacteria
Description: partial 16S ribosomal RNA
Rfam family: Bacterial small subunit ribosomal RNA
Source: RNAcentral